UUAAAGGGAGGGAGGGGGUAGACUGGCACAAGGCGCGACACUGUUGCGUCUGCAUGUUUUUUUUUCCCUUCUUGAACAGAGGCGAAUAAAUAGGACCAGGGGGACUGUCCGACUUGUAUUCCAAAAGACAAUUCGCCCCCCCCCCCCUCCCCCCUUCUCUCACACCCUCAAAUGGAUAAUCUUGCUCAUUUUGGGAUGCGAUCAGAUAUUACUGAGGCGGUGGUGGUGGUGGUGGAUGGAUGGACGGUGGAGAAGUUGAACUUGAAGACGCGGUCUUCUCCAGAGAACCAGCCUGUCCCUGUCCCUGCACGGCUCCAGGAUGCUGACACCUGCCCGACACGCAGGUAACACAACCGGGCAGCAUCACCCAGUCUGCUCCUCCAGACACCGAGGCAGCUUAUCUCUGGAGUGGCAUGGAAUCGGGCCCACAACCACCAGCGAAGCUGAGCUGAACAGAACUGAGCUUUAGAGCCCUGCUGAGACCUGCCAGAUCCACAGCUUCCCCCCGCCAGGGCCUCGGCUCACAGUCAGAGUGAGUUACAAGCCCUGUGACUGACACACACACACACAUGCACGCACGCACACACACACACACAUAUACACACACACGCACACACACACAUACACACACUAUACAUAUUUUAAACAUGUACAGAAUGUAGGCAGGCAAGAGCAAGUAUGGAACACAUACUGUAGUAUAUGUACAUUUGACCAAAACACAUGCAGCCAGAAAAAACAUCUACACCUACACAGAGACAGUAUGGAGUGGAUGUAGCUACUGUGAUGAUGUUUUAGGAUGUCUGUCUUGAAGCCUUGACUAUGCUUUUUAGCCCUCUGGAAACACAUUUUUUUACCCAAAAAGAAGAGCAACAGGUGAAAUUCAGCAAGCCCAUUAUACUAAUUUACAGAAUAGAUAAAACAGUAUAUUUGAUUAACCAUGUGUGAAAAGAAUCAUCAAGGUCCUGCCAAUAUAACCUUUUAACCACAGCUACAGAGAUUAUAGAAAAAAGGGUUUUUUUGGACAAUAAACAGAAUCUCACAAAGUGUGAUUCAGCAUGCAAAAAGACUGUCAGUCACACCUCUCAAUGCAGCAGAAAUUUCUGUUUAUAAUCAUUGUAAAAUCAUUGUAAUGGAGUAAAAAUUUACACAAGGGCCACCAGUGCACUAACUGGAAGGUCCAAAUGAAGGAAAUGAAACCAUAGUGACUCCUGGAAAAACUCUGACUCUGUAUUUCUAGAAAGAAACUCGGUCAAAGUCAGUUAGAAAUACUAAUGAUACAUAAAGAUACUAAUGUACACACAUCAAUACUCAUACAUAAUGAUAGCCAACUAAUUAUGUCCCUAGUUAACAUAAGUGGAGAUGGACGCUCAUGGUUUGUCCUUGAAUAAAUUCUUGAAUUAAACACUGCAGUUAGGAGUAAGAACACACAUACACGUAGAUAAGGUACAUGUAAAUGAAAUAAGUGCACCCUACUUGGACAUAUAUAGUGACUGAAAAUGUCCUUGCACAGGAGGUCUGUCUCCUGCAGGCUUAGAUUAAGGUCAAGGUCUGGCAGCUGAUGGAUCUGCUGGAUUGAUCUGUCUGGGUAAACAUGUUGGAAAUGAGCAUGUUUGUGAUUAGAGGCUUAACAGAUGGUGUGUGUGAAAGUAAGUGGGCAGACUGACUGUACUACAUCAUGUAUAGUAAAGCAGAAGGAAGCAAUGUAAAUUCAUCUUUUUUUCAUCACAGUUCACGAGUUCGCCUACAUCCUGUCUUAAGAUGAUGAUGGUGAAGUAUAUACUGUCAGUUUAUAGAUGUGAUCUUGCUCCAGUGCUUAUGUUUCACUUUUUACUGAAAAAUGUGGUUUUCCAAAUAAAACAGUUAAGUAUAAUGAAGUCUGGUUUUAAUGAUGAAAGAUCAGAGGAGAAACAUCUUUUAUUAUUCAUUGUGUAUGCUUCUAUGCUGUAAACUCAGCUAUAGUGAUUUCUGUAUUUAUACUGGACUACUGUACAACACAGGUUUCCAUGAGGUUAGAAAAUUCCACGUUAAACUAAAUUCAUCUAAAAAAUGAAUUGAUGAUAAGGAUGUAUGUGUUUUUCUUAGUUAAGUUAAAGCUGACAGUAUGAAAGUACACAUUUCUGUGGUUAUGUUCAUACAGCCAGUGUUUGGGAAUGCACCACAGUUACACAGGAUAAUGAACUGUAUGAUUAUUUUAUACAUGCCAACACAAGGCAUGGUGAAAUGAUUACCAUUUGUAAGAGGAAAAGACCACACAUAUACUAAACCAUGAGUCCAGUGAGUAUCUUUAAAGGUGCAGUUUCUGAAUUAAGGCUGAAAUGACUGUUGGACCUCAGGGUUUGGUGAUUCAUAAUUAAAGUUUGUCUUAUUUCAUGCAUUAAAUUGUUCACAAAAAAGUGACAGCUGAUGUAUGGUUAAUAUACGGUUAAUUUAACCCUGAUUAAAGGCCCUUGGUUGGGCAGUGUAAAUAAAUGAUAUCAUGUUUUGAGGCUCA
This is a long non-coding RNA of Sphaeramia orbicularis (orbiculate cardinalfish), 2491 nucleotides long. RefSeq lists it as uncharacterized. The record is from RefSeq and is a predicted model, not a curated record. Lineage: Eukaryota; Metazoa; Chordata; Actinopteri; Kurtiformes; Apogonidae. The transcript is spliced from 2 exons.